CAUUACACAAUAAACAUAUGAAGGCUGCACCGCCAACAGGCGGCAAGGCUGGAGUAUUUUAUUACCCUUGUCUUUUGCGCACUUGUUGUUUCCUGGGCGGGUUCGCCCGCCUCCAGGACCACAUGAUAAACCUUUUUUAUGCAGUUGCAAUCAGCGUCAGUACAACAAAUGUAAAUCAUUUACAACUUUCAACAACGGAUCUCUUGGUUCUGGCAUCGAUGAAGAACGCAGCGAAAUGCGAUACGUAGUGUGAAUUGCAGAAUUCAGUGAAUCAUCGAAUCUUUGAACGCACAUUGCGCCCUUUGGUAUUCCAAAGGGCAUGCCUGUUCGAGCGUCAUUUGUACCCUCAAGCUUUGCUUGGUGUUGGGCGUUUUUUGUCUUUGGUUUUGUCCAAAGACUCGCCUUAAAACGAUUGGCAGCCGGCCUACUGGUUUCGCAGCGCAGCACAUUUUUGCGCUUGCAAUCAGCAAAAGAGGACGGCACUCCAUCAAGACUCUAUAUCACUUUUGACCUCGGAUCAGGUAGGGAUACCCGCUGAACUUAAGCAUAUCAAUAA
Molecule: unclassified non-coding RNA, 556 nt
Filed under: Curvularia geniculata
Lineage: Eukaryota; Fungi; Ascomycota; Dothideomycetes; Pleosporales; Pleosporaceae
Description: sequence contains ITS1, 5.8S rRNA gene and ITS2
Rfam family: 5.8S ribosomal RNA (bases 184-337)
Source: RNAcentral